UGGGUUGUGGUUCAGUGGUAGAGCGUUUGCCUUGCAAGUGUGAGACACUGGGUUUGAUUCUCAGCACCACAU
RNAcentral lists this transfer RNA (72 nucleotides) under Ictidomys tridecemlineatus (thirteen-lined ground squirrel). RNAcentral describes it as "Spermophilus tridecemlineatus (thirteen-lined ground squirrel) tRNA". It matches the Rfam family "tRNA". Rfam says of the family: Transfer RNA (tRNA) molecules are approximately 80 nucleotides in length. Their secondary structure includes four short double-helical elements and three loops (D, anti-codon, and T loops). Lineage: Eukaryota; Metazoa; Chordata; Mammalia; Rodentia; Sciuridae. The record is from Rfam by way of RNAcentral.